Molecule: long non-coding RNA, 901 nt
Organism: Equus caballus (horse)
Lineage: Eukaryota; Metazoa; Chordata; Mammalia; Perissodactyla; Equidae
Source: RefSeq, a predicted model, not a curated record
UAACACUCUCAGUCACCAAGGCUUAUGGGGCCUUCCACAUUUCCAAGUGUGACAAAUAGUCAUGAAAAAGAUAUGUGGAUUUUAAAGUUUAUUUUGUGAAGUAGUAACAUUCAUCUAACUGAAGAUGGGAACUUUUUAUUCAGCACAGAGAUCAUUGCAGUGAUUCCAAAUGCUUGGGAAGGACAAUGAAGACAGACUCUUUUCAAGUCACUUAUAAACUUGCUGGGGAAAAUUCAACAAGUAUCAAAGGACAAAAAGAAGCAAAGAGACUGGAAUGGACAAAAAAGAAGAUGAGGUUGGAGAAGCAGAUGGAGGCCAGAUUCUGGAGGACCACAUAGGCCAAGAGUUGUUGAGCUGGGAAGACAGAAGCUUAGAACUGCCAAAGGCCACAAUGUGAAGAGAGAUUUGUUUGAGAAUGAAGCUAACACUGAAGAAAGAAGAGUGAUUCAAAGUGUGGAGGAGAGUAUGUUAUAUGAGUCAUUAAACUCCCAAUUUACUUAAGCCAUUUUGAAUUGGAUUUUUUAUUAAUGGAAACCUGACCAAUACAGGACAGUGCCUGUAUGUAAUAGAUAUAGAAUAAAUAUAUUCAAUUUGCUUCUUUCCAAAAGAUUGUGUUAUAUUCAAGAAAACAAGACUAGCUUACAUGAAAUAAUAAAAAAUAUGAUGGUGCAGUAUAUAAUUACAUUCUACCAAUAACUGUGUGAGUGAGGUUGGAAGAAGAUCCUCCCCAAUCAAGGCUUCAGAUGAGAACACAGCCUUGGCUGAUACUUGGAUUGCAAACUGUGCUUGCAUUCCUGAUCCAUAAAAACUUUGCUGUAACAAAAGUCUGUUGUUUAGGUCAUUAGGUUGUCAUGUUAUGCAGCAAUAAAUAACUAAUACAGUUACUAUCAUCACCACGGAU